CCCAAAGUUGCAUUUAUGCAAAAUAAGAAAAAGUGCUUACUCCUCAAAGUAAUCUUUUGUGUUGUGAUAUGUCAUACAAUAUUAUAUUACUGAACGUGGGAAAAUAAAAAAAUGAAGGGGUCUCCCCAUUUCAGCAGUGUUAGGUUACCCUGAAGAGUGUCAGCUUGAAAAGGAAAGAAGAAAAAAACAGGAGUAGGGAAAGUAUAAGAACAAUGCUGGUGCUAGGAUUCAAUGGCGAGCACACCGAUUGAAUUUACCCAGAGCCACUAGUUUUUUAAUAAAAAUAGUACGUAAACUUUGAAAAUCAGUGGCCCAAGCCCCAGUUAUAAAUCUGGGGAAGUUGCUGCUACUAUAAGACACUCAUAUGCAGGAUCCGUUUCUAUCUAGGGGAGCCAAUGGUGAGAAUCCAGGCCUCUGAGAAAGAAGUUGCCCAGGGAAAAGAAACCUCAAGAGAUGCCCAGAGAUCCAAGAGCAUCUCAGAGAACACCAAGGACAACACGUGGUCACAGUUAUGUUACAGAACCUGAAUAAGGUGAUUGCGGUAGACAGCUUCAGAAAUGGCUCCCCUUAAUCUCUUCUCCCUGGUAUUUAUGUCAUUGUAAUGUCUCUCAUGAGACUCAUGUGCAAAGAACAGAGUCUGGAUUUCAUCCAACAAACAGCAAGGAACUGAGUCCUAUCAACAACGACAAGAAAAUCAAAUUUUGAAAUGGAGUUAAACAGCAUACCUAUCCUACUUUUUACGUGAAAAUAUCCAGCGGGAACUUGACACACAGUCCAGUGGAGAAACUGGAAAAUCAUCGAGAAAUCAAUACAGGACAAGAUGAUUCAUAUUUUCUUUCCCAAAAUAUAAUGCAGGAGAAACAGGAUCACCUCUGGACUCAGUCGAAUUACCUGUUUCAUCGUCUUAAUAGAAGUUGCAGUCUAAUAAAGGAUGUUCUUAGGAGUAAAUUAAGUUCCUUAGUCUUAGUUUCCGGAGGGAAUUAUGUACGUAAUUGGCUGGUCUCAGCAAGUCAUUUAAUGUUGGUGUCAGUGCUGUUGGUGAUGUCCCAGGUAUAUGUGGGUCUCUGGCACUCGUGGAAGUUCCUGGAGACAAAGCCAGCAACCCUGUGUCCUCCUCAUCCUCAGUGUCCUCAUUAUCAUCUUAGCUAAUGGUAGUGAUUGGACAACAAUGAAAUAAUAAAUGGUGUUUUAAAAUUGAGUGUUCCA
Molecule: long non-coding RNA, 1206 nt
Filed under: Felis catus (domestic cat)
Lineage: Eukaryota; Metazoa; Chordata; Mammalia; Carnivora; Felidae
Description: lncRNA (ENSFCAG00000045589.2)
Source: RNAcentral